AAACUAACAAGGAUUCCCCUAGUAACGGCGAGUGAAGAGGGAAGAGCCCAAGAUUGAAAGCUGGCGUCUUCGGCGUCCGCAUUGUAAUCUCAAGAAGUGUUUUCCGCUUCGGACCAUGCCUAAGUCCCUUGGAAAAGGGCAUCAUAGAGGGUGAUAAUCCCGUACAUGGCAUGGAGCGCCCGAAGCUUUGUGAUACGCUUUCUAAGAGUCGAGUUGUUUGGGAAUGCAGCUCAAAAUGGGUGGUAAAUGCCAUCUAAGGCUAAAUAUUGGGGAGAGACCGAUAGCGAACAAGUACAGUGAUGGAAAGAUGAAAAGAACUUUGAAAAGAGAGUUAAACAGUACGUGAAAUUGCCAAAAGGGAAGGGUAGGAGGUCAGAGAUGCGGCCUGGGAUUCAGCCUUGCUUUUGCUUGGUGUUUUUCCCAGAUUGCAGGCCAACGUCGGUUUUGGGCACUGGAGAAGGGUAGGAGGAACGUGGCACCUCUCGGGGUGUGUUAUAGCCUCCUACUGGAUACAGCGACCGAGACCGAGGACAGCAGCGUACUCGCAAGAGCGGGCCUUCGGGCACCUUUACGCUUAGGGCGUUGGCAUAAUGGCCCUCUACCACCCGUCU
RNAcentral lists this ribosomal RNA (611 nucleotides) under Dirkmeia churashimaensis. Its description in RNAcentral is "partial large subunit ribosomal RNA". It matches the Rfam family "Eukaryotic large subunit ribosomal RNA", at positions 62 to 654 of the family's 3401-position model. The record is from RNAcentral. Lineage: Eukaryota; Fungi; Basidiomycota; Ustilaginomycetes; Ustilaginales; Ustilaginaceae.